UACGGGGGGGGCAAGCGUUGUUCGGAAUUACUGGGCGUAAAGGGCUCGUAGGCGGCCAACUAAGUCGGAUGUGAAAUCCCCAGGCUUAACCUGGGAACUGCAUCCGAUACUGGAUGGCUUGAAUCCGGGAGAGGGAUGCAGAAUUCCAGGUGUAGCGGUGAAAUGCGUAGAUAUCGAGAGGAACACCUGCGGCGAAGGCGGGUUGCUGGGCCGACACUGACGCUGAGGCGCGAAAGCCAGGGGAGCGAACGGG
Molecule: ribosomal RNA, 253 nt
Filed under: uncultured bacterium
Lineage: Bacteria
Description: partial 16S ribosomal RNA
Rfam family: Bacterial small subunit ribosomal RNA
Source: RNAcentral